This 2415-nucleotide long non-coding RNA is filed under the name Canis lupus familiaris (dog). RNAcentral's name for it is "lncRNA (ENSCAFG00000056961.1)". Lineage: Eukaryota; Metazoa; Chordata; Mammalia; Carnivora; Canidae. The record is from RNAcentral.
UGGCGGUCGUCUGCGGGCCGCGAGGCCGCGUCCCCGUGCCCGCGCUCCUGGGGGCCCCGGCGCCCUCUGGCCUCAGGGCUCGGGCCGCGUCGGUCAGGCCCCGGGGCGACUCCGGUUCUUAGGAGGGAACGUGAAGAAGCGUCCUCUUAAAAGGUGAUCACGGACGAAGGACACAGCGGCGACCGCCCCAGGCUGCAGGACGGGAGGCCGCAGGAGCCAUGGCACUAGAACACUCUUGAAGCCUUCUGGAGAACCAUGUGGUGAGGAACAGAGGCCUCCUGCCAACAGCGCCAUCACAGAAGAGGGUCCUCCAGCCCAGAAAGCCUUCGAACAAGACACGGCCCCGGCCCGAUGGCCACCACCUGGGAGCCCUGAGCCAGAACUAGCCGGCGCAGCCGCUCCUGAACUCCCGCCCCACGGAAUCGGUGAGAUCCACACUUGUUGUUUUAAGCCGCUACACUUUGGGGUGAUUUGUUACACUGCGGUAGGCACUUAAUACCCCCAUUCAUGAGUCACUUAAACCGGCCACUCAUCCCUUUCCACAGCCACCCAUUCAUCCGCCCGUCUGCUCACCUCCCUGUCCAUUCAUUCAUCUCUGUCCAUCUAUCCAUUAAUCCAUCCUCCCGUCUGUUCCUUUAUUCGCCCACUUAUUCACCCACCCACCCUGCCAGCCGCCCACCCACUCCUCACAGAACACAGAGCCUGGCACAAAGUCGGCCCAUGUUUAAGUAUCUGUUGAAUGAAUGAGCGAACGUUGUCUAAACAUCACGUCUGUGUUACUUGCUGAGACAGGCCAGGGGGCUUAGCGGCUUGGCCACCUCCCUGGAAGCAGCUCCCCCCUUCCCAGCCCAUUCAGCCUCAUUUUUUCCUGUUGAGAACCACCCCCAAUCCUCCCACAAAUCCUUUAGGCCUGCCUGAUAGAAAAAACCUGCUUCUGUCUCUCCACUGACACCCCCCCCCCCCAGAGGGGACAAAUCCUAAGGCUGCUGGCUGUGGCUCAGAGGGCCACCAGCCUGGAGUAGGGGAGACUGGGGACAGCAGAGCCCCCUGCCCCCCGGGAGAGUUUGUGACAGGAAGAUUUGGGCUUUUCUGGAAGCCAAGUGGAGCAGCCACAGAAAAGCCAGUUUCCUUCUGAUGGCAGAGGCCUCACUGUCUCCUCCCUGAGGACAUCAGAGAGGCCUGGGGCUGCCCCCCACCAUACACACGUUUCUCUAGACGAAUCCCAUCUUAUUCCUCGUUUUUUUCAUCUAUGAAAUUGGAAUAAUGAGGGUAUUUUGGAGAUAAGAUGACAUGGUGCACAGGCGGAUCCCCAGCAAGGGCCGUUGGCAGCAGGCACUGAAGCGUGCCUGCUGAGCUGCUAGGACGAGAGCGCAGAGCAUCAGUAAAACCCAAGGCCUCCAAGCAGCGGACCGUUGACUCAGGGGACUCAGGCCCUCUCUCCUCCUUGCUUCGCUCACUCUGCUCUGGCUGCUCCAUCUCCUCCUGUUCCUCUAACCCUCCGCACCUGCUCCCACCUCAGGGCCUUUGCACUGGCCGUUCUCGCUGCCUGGAGGCUCUUACCCCAAAUUUCCCUUGGCUCCUCCCUCUCCUGCUUCAGGUCUUUGCACAAAUGUCCCCUUCUCGGUGAGGCCUUCCCAGGCCACCUGUCCACCACUUUCCCUAUCCUCCUUUUGGAUUCCUUUUCUUCCCAUCACAUCUAUCCUUUGAAGACACCGCAUCUUUUUCUUAUUAAUUCUGUUUGUUGUCUGACUUCUCGCAGAACACAGGCUCCCCAAGGGAGGGGUUUGGGCUGUUUCCACUACUAGAUCCCCACAUGUAGCUGAGCGACCAGCACACAGCAGUUUUACAAGGUGGACGGGUGGAUAAAUGGGCGGGUGGAUGUGAUGAGGGAGCAGAAGCCUAGCUCAGGACAAAACACAAGCUGGCACCCUGCAAACCAAUCCCCCCCACUCCUGGGUGGGAUGUGUGUGACAUUCUUCCAGGAAGCUCCCAACUUUUUUUUUUUUUUUGUAAGAUUUUAUUUAUUCAUGAGAGACACAGAGAGAGAGGCAGAGACACAGGCAGAAGGAGAAGCAGGCUCCGUGCAGGGAGCCUGAUGUGGGACUCCAUCCCAGGACCCCCGGAUCACACCCCUGGCUGAAGGCAGAGGCUCAACCGCUGAGCCACCCAGGUGUCCCCCACAACUGUCUUAAUGUUAAUACCUUGCUAGAGGGAAAAACAACCUUAACAAUGGCAAGGGCUUUGGAAUCCUGUGAGUCUUCUUUAACAUGUGAAAAUCCUUUUGAAACCUCGCUUUUCCUUACCUCCCCCAACUCCAAGUAUAUAAUCAGCCUUUCCUCACAACCUGGGGACGGCAGCUCUUUCUGCCCCAGGGUUUUGCCCUGUGCUUUAAUAAAACCACUAUUUUGCACCAAA